Molecule: ribosomal RNA, 271 nt
Filed under: uncultured bacterium
Lineage: Bacteria
Description: partial 16S ribosomal RNA
Rfam family: Bacterial small subunit ribosomal RNA
Source: RNAcentral
GAUGAACGCUGGCGGCGUGCCUAACACAUGCAAGUCGAACGAAGCACAUUGGAUUGAUUCUUCGGAAGAAAGAGAAUGUGACUGAGUGGCGGACGGGUGAGUAACGCGUGGGUAACCUGCCUCAUACAGGGGGAUAACAGUUAGAAAUGACUGCUAAUACCGCAUAAGACCACGGAGUCGCAUGACUCAGUGGGAAAAACUCCGGUGGUGUGAGAUGGACCCCGCGUUGGAUUAGCCAGUUGGCAGGGUAACGGCCUACCAAAGCGACGAU